UACGUAGGGUGCGAGCGUUGUCCGGAAUUAUUGGGCGUAAAGGGCUCGUAGGCGGUUUGUCGCGUCGGGAGUGAAAAUCCAGGGCUUAACUCUGGACUGGCUUCCGAUACGGGCAGACUAGAGGUAUGCAGGGGAGAACGGAAUUCCUGGUGUAGCGGUGAAAUGCGCAGAUAUCAGGAGGAACCCCGGUGGCGGAGGCGGUUCUCUGGGCAUUACCUGACGCUGAGGAGCGAGAGUGUGGGGAGCGAACAGG
Molecule: ribosomal RNA, 253 nt
Filed under: uncultured bacterium
Lineage: Bacteria
Description: partial 16S ribosomal RNA
Rfam family: Bacterial small subunit ribosomal RNA
Source: RNAcentral